CCAAAGCAUCUCUGGAUGUCUCAAAUACUGUUCAGUUUGUGAAGAGUACAACCUAUCAUGAUGAAGAAGCUCAAGGAGUGAAAACUGUUUCAGAAAAACAGCAACCCAGAAAGGUGAGUCAACGUCCUGCACAGAAUACAGCUGUUCAGUACAGGAAAGUUACACCCAGGAAGAAGUGGACCAGGUCCAACAGAGGUCGAAGAUCGUU
Molecule: long non-coding RNA, 208 nt
Filed under: Arabidopsis lyrata
Lineage: Eukaryota; Viridiplantae; Streptophyta; Magnoliopsida; Brassicales; Brassicaceae
Description: long non-coding RNA (ALYR_LNC001557)
Source: RNAcentral